This 525-nucleotide ribosomal RNA is filed under the name uncultured bacterium. Its description in RNAcentral is "bacterial SSU rRNA". It matches the Rfam family "Bacterial small subunit ribosomal RNA", at positions 777 to 1297 of the family's 1533-position model. The record is from RNAcentral.
AAUAGAUACCCCGGUAGUCCACGCCGUAAACGAUGAGUGCUAAGUGUUAGAGGGUUUCCGCCCUUUAGUGCUGCAGCUAACGCAUUAAGCACUCCGCCUGGGGAGUACGGCCGCAAGGCUGAAACUCAAAGGAAUUGACGGGGGGCCCGCACAAGCGGUGGAGCAUGUGGUUUAAUUCGAAGCAACGCGAAGAACCUUACCAGGUCUUGACAUCCUCUGCCAACCCUAGAGAUAGGGCGUUCCCCCUUCGGGGGACAGAGUGACAGGUGGUGCAUGGUUGUCGUCAGCUCGUGUCGUGAGAUGUUGGGUUAAGUCCCGCAACGAGCGCAACCCUUGAUCUUAGUUGCCAGCAUUUAGUUGGGCACUCUAAGGUGACUGCCGGUGACAAACCGGAGGAAGGUGGGGAUGACGUCAAAUCAUCAUGCCCCCUUAUGACCUGGGCUACACACGUGCUACAAUGGAUGGUACAAAGAGCUGCGAACCCGCGAGGGUAAGCGAAUCUCAUAAAGCCAUUCUCAGUUCGGA